RNAcentral lists this ribosomal RNA (497 nucleotides) under uncultured bacterium. RNAcentral describes it as "partial 16S ribosomal RNA". It matches the Rfam family "Bacterial small subunit ribosomal RNA", at positions 28 to 507 of the family's 1533-position model. The record is from RNAcentral.
GAUGAACGCUGGCGGCGUGCCUAAUACAUGCAAGUCGAGCGAACAGACGAUGAGCUUGCUCCUCUGACGUUAGCGGCGGACGGGUGAGUAACACGUGGAUAACCUACCUAUAAGACUGGGAUAACUUCGGGAAACCGGAGCUAAUACCGGAUAAUAUAUUGAACCGCAUGGUUCAAUAGUGAAAGACGGUUUUGCUGUCACUUCUAGAUGGAUCCGCGCCGCAUUAGCUAGUUGGUAAGGUAACGGCUUACCAAGGCAACGAUGCGUAGCCGACCUGAGAGGGGGAUCGGCCACACUGGAACUGAGACACGGUCCAGACUCCUACGGGAGGCAGCAGUAGGGAAUCGUCCGCAAUGGGCGAAAGCUUGACGGAGCAACGCCGCGUGAGUGAUGAAGGUCUUCGGAUCGUAAAACUCUGUUAUUAGGGAAAAACAAAUGUGUAAGUAACUAUGCACGUCUUGACGGUACCUAAUCAGAAAGCCACGGCUAACUACGUG